UACGUAAGUGGCGAGCGUUAUCCGGAAUUACUGGGCGUAAAGCGUGCGUAGGCGGUUUAGUGUGUGGGAAUUGAAAGCCCGGGGCUCAACUCCGGAUCCGGUUCCCAAACUGCUAGACUCGAGCGUAUCAGAGGACAGUGGAAUUCCCGGUGUAGCGGUAAUAUGCGUAGAUAUCGGGAGGAACACCAGUGGCGAAGGCGACUGUCUGGGGUAUUGCUGACGCUGAGGCACGAAAGCCAGGGGAGCGAACGGGAUUAGAUACCCCGGUAGUCCUGGCCUUAAACGAUGAUCACUAGGUGUAGGAGGCUUCGACCCCUUCUGCGCCGCCGCUAACGCAUUAAGUGAUCCGCCUGGGGAGUACGGCCGCAAGGUUAAA
This 376-nucleotide ribosomal RNA is filed under the name uncultured bacterium. RNAcentral describes it as "bacterial SSU rRNA". It matches the Rfam family "Bacterial small subunit ribosomal RNA", at positions 524 to 898 of the family's 1533-position model. The record is from RNAcentral.